Molecule: ribosomal RNA, 250 nt
Filed under: uncultured bacterium
Lineage: Bacteria
Description: partial 16S ribosomal RNA
Rfam family: Bacterial small subunit ribosomal RNA
Source: RNAcentral
UACAGAGGGGGCAAGCGUUAUUCGGAAUUAUUGGGCGUAAAGGGCGCGUAGGCGGCUUUUCAAGUGGCGGGUGAAAUCCCUCGGCUUAACCGGGGAACUGCCUGCCAGACUGGAUUGCUUGAGGCCGGGAGAGGUGAGUGGAAUUCCCAGUGUAGCGGUGAAAUGCGUAGAUAUUGGGAGGAACACCAGUGGCGAAGGCGGCUCACUGGACCGGUACUGACGCUGAGGCGCGAAAGCGUGGGGAGCAAAC